GAUGAACGCUGGCGGCGUGCCUAAUACAUGCAAGUCGAGCGAACGGACGAGAAGCUUGCUUCUCUGAUGUUAGCGGCGGACGGGUGAGUAACACGUGGAUAACCUACCUAUAAGACUGGGAUAACUUCGGGAAACCGGAGCUAAUACCGGAUAAUAUUUUGAACCGCAUGGUUCAAAAGUGAAUGACGGUCUUGCUGUCACUUAUCGAUGGAUCCGCGCUGCAUUAGCUAGUUGGUAAGGUAACGGCUUACCAAGGCAACGAUGCAUAGCCGACCUGAGAGGAUGAUCGGCCACACUGGAACUGCGAAACGGUGCAGACUCCUACGGGAGGCAGCAGUAGGGAAUCUUCCGCAAUGGGCGAAAGCCUGACGGAACAACGCCGCGUCAGUGAUGAAGGUCUUCGGAUCGUAAAACUCUGUUAUUAGGGAAGAACAUAUGUGUAAGUAACUGUGCACAUCUUGACGGUACCUGAUCAGAAAGCCACGGCUAACUACGUG
This 497-nucleotide ribosomal RNA is filed under the name uncultured bacterium. RNAcentral describes it as "partial 16S ribosomal RNA". It matches the Rfam family "Bacterial small subunit ribosomal RNA", at positions 28 to 507 of the family's 1533-position model. The record is from RNAcentral.